Molecule: transfer RNA, 62 nt
Filed under: Oxyrrhis marina
Lineage: Eukaryota; Dinophyceae; Oxyrrhinales; Oxyrrhinaceae
Source: RNAcentral
CGUAGCUCAAUGGUAAAGCCACCAGGCUGGUAACCUGGGGUUCGUAGGUUCGAGCCCGGUAG